AACGAACGCUGGCGGCACGCCUAACACAUGCAAGUCGAACGAGACCUUCGGGUCUAGUGGCGCACGGGUGCGUAACGCGUGGGAACCUGCCCUUAGGUUCGGAAUAACUCCCCGAAAGGGGUGCUAAUACCGGAUAAUGUCUUCGGACCAAAGAUUUAUCGCCUUUGGAUGGGCCCGCGUUGGAUUAGCUAGUUGGUAGGGUAAAAGCCUACCAAGGCGACGAUCCAUAGCUGGUCUGAGAGGAUGAUCAGCCACACUGGGACUGAGACACGGCCCAGACUCCUACGGGAGGCAGCAGUGGGGAAUAUUGGACAAUGGGCGAAAGCCUGAUCCAGCAAUGCCGCGUGAGUGAUGAAGGCCUUAGGGUUGUAAAGCUCUUUUACCCGGGAUGAUAAUGACAGUACCGGGAGAAUAAGCUCCGGCUAACUCCGUGC
RNAcentral lists this ribosomal RNA (434 nucleotides) under uncultured bacterium. RNAcentral's name for it is "partial 16S ribosomal RNA". It matches the Rfam family "Bacterial small subunit ribosomal RNA", at positions 29 to 508 of the family's 1533-position model. The record is from RNAcentral.